GAUGAACGCUGGCGGCGUGCCUAAUACAUGCAAGUCGAGCGAACAGAUAAGGAGCUUGCUCCUUUGACGUUAGCGGCGGACGGAUGAGUAACACGUGGAUAACCUACCUAUAAGACUGGGAUAACUUCGGGAAACCGGAGCUAAUACCGGAUAACAUAUUGAACCGCAUGGUUCAAUAGUGAAAGGCGGCUUUGCUGUCACUUAUAGAUGGAUCCGCGCCGUAUUAGCUAGUUGGUAAGGUAACGGCUUACCAAGGCAACGAUACGUAGCCGACCUGAGAGGGUGAUCGGCCACACUGGAACUGAGACACGGUCCAGACUCCUACGGGAGGCAGCAGUAGGGAAUCUUCCGCAAAGGGCGAAAGCCUGACGGAGCAACGCCGCGUGAGUGAUGAAGGUCUUCGGAUCGUAAAACUCUGUUAUCAGGGAAGAACAAAUGUGUAAGUAACUGUGCACAUCUUGACGGUACCUGAUCAGAAAGCCACGGCUAACUACGUG
This 497-nucleotide ribosomal RNA is filed under the name uncultured bacterium. RNAcentral's name for it is "partial 16S ribosomal RNA". It matches the Rfam family "Bacterial small subunit ribosomal RNA", at positions 28 to 507 of the family's 1533-position model. The record is from RNAcentral.